CUAGAAGGCUCUGGAGUCUUAGGGAGCAGAGCUGUAGGAGGCUCGGGUGGUGGAGCCGUGGAAGGCUCAAGAGGCGGAGCCUUAGGAAGCUCUGGAGUCUUUGGGAGCAGAGCCAUGAGAGGCUCGGGAGGUGGAGCCGUAGGAGGCUCUGGAGGGGGAGCCGUAGGAGGCUCGGGAGGCAGAGCCAUAGGAGCCUCUAGUGGCCGAGCCCUGGGAGGCUCGGGAGGUGGAGCCGUAGGAGGCUCUGGAGGGGGAGCCCUGGGAGGCUCGAGAGGCUUGAGGGGGGGAGCCUUGAAAGACUCGAGAGACGAAGCCCUGAGAGGCUUGAGAGGAGGAGGAGCCCUGAAAGACUCGAGAGGGGGAGCCCUGAGAGGCUUGAGAGGGGGAGGAGCCCUGAGAGACUCGAGGGGCGGAGCCCUGAGAGACUCGAGAGGCGAAGCCGUGAGAGGCUUGAGGGGUGGAGCCAUGAAAGACUCGAGGGAUGGAGCCUUGAGAGACUCGAGAGGCGAAGCCGUGAGAGGCUUGAGGGGUGGAGCCAUGAAAGACUCGAGGGAUGGAGCCUUGAGAGACUCGAGAGGCGAAGCCGUGAGAGGCUUGAGGGGUGGAGCCAUGAAAGACUCGAGGGAUGGAGCCUUGAGAGACUCGAGAGGCGAAGCCAUGAGAGGCUUGAGGGGUGGAGCCAUGAAAGACUCGAGGGAUGGAGCCUUGAGAGACUCGAGAGGCGAAGCCGUGAGAGGCUUGAAGGGUGGAGCCCUGAGGGACUUGAGGGGUAGAGCUCUGGGAGGCUCGUGAG
Long non-coding RNA from Xyrauchen texanus (razorback sucker), 793 nucleotides. RefSeq lists it as uncharacterized. The record is from RefSeq and is a predicted model, not a curated record. Lineage: Eukaryota; Metazoa; Chordata; Actinopteri; Cypriniformes; Catostomidae. The transcript has 3 exons.